UACGUAGGGGGCAAGCGUUGUCCGGAUUUAUUGGGCGUAAAGAGCUCGUAGGCGGCUUGUCGCGUCGACUGUGAAAUCCCGCGGCUCAACUGCGGGUCUGCAGUCGAUACGGGCAGGCUAGAGUUCGGUAGGGGAGACUGGAAUUCCUGGUGUAGCGGUGAAAUGCGCAGAUAUCAGGAGGAACACCGAUGGCGAGGGCAGGUCUCUGGGCCGACUACUGACGCUGAGAAGCGAAAGCGUGGGGAGCGAACAGG
Molecule: ribosomal RNA, 254 nt
Filed under: uncultured bacterium
Lineage: Bacteria
Description: partial 16S ribosomal RNA
Rfam family: Bacterial small subunit ribosomal RNA
Source: RNAcentral